UACUCCUACGGGAGGCAGCAGUGGGGAAUAUUGGGCAAUGGGGGAAACCCUGACCCAGCAACGCCGCGUGAGGGAAGAAGGUUUUCGGAUCGUAAACCUCUGUCCUUGGUGAAGAGGAAGAGACGGUAGCCAAGGAGGAAGCCCCGGCUAACUACGUGCCAGCAGCCGCGGUAAU
RNAcentral lists this ribosomal RNA (175 nucleotides) under uncultured bacterium. Its description in RNAcentral is "partial 16S ribosomal RNA". It matches the Rfam family "Bacterial small subunit ribosomal RNA", at positions 334 to 524 of the family's 1533-position model. The record is from RNAcentral.